RNAcentral lists this small nucleolar RNA (82 nucleotides) under Mus musculus (house mouse). RNAcentral describes it as "Small nucleolar RNA U3". It matches the Rfam family "Small nucleolar RNA U3", at positions 1 to 83 of the family's 219-position model. Rfam says of the family: Small nucleolar RNAs (snoRNAs) are involved in the processing and modification of rRNA in the nucleolus. There are two main classes of snoRNAs: the box C/D class, and the box H/ACA class. The record is from Rfam by way of RNAcentral. Lineage: Eukaryota; Metazoa; Chordata; Mammalia; Rodentia; Muridae.
AAGACUAUACUUUCAGGGAUCAUUUCUAUAGUUCGUUACUAGAGAAAAGCCAGCCCUCUCUCUUCCAGACUUCCUCCCCGGA